AACGAACGCUGGCGGCAGGCCUAACACAUGCAAGUCGAGCGCGCCCUUCGGGGUGAGCGGCGGACGGGGGAGUCACGCGUCGGAACGUUCCCUUUUCCAUGGAAUUCCCCCGUGACACGGAGAGUAACACCGUAUACCUUCCGUGGGUGCCAGAUUCAUCGGAAAAGUAGCGGCCCGAGUUGUUUUAGGUUGGUGGUGUGGUAAUGGCCUAUCAAGCCUACGAUACAUAGCUGGGUUGAGAGGAUGAUCAGCCACACUGGGACUGAGACACGGCCCAGACUCCUACGGGAGGCAGCAGUGGGGAAUCUUGGAAAAUGGGGGCAACCCUGAACGAGCCAUGCCGCGUGAGUGAUGAAGGCGUUAGGGUAGUAAAGCUCCUUCAGCUGGGAAGAUAAUGACGGUACCAGCAGAAGAAGCCCCGGCUAACUCCGUG
This 433-nucleotide ribosomal RNA is filed under the name uncultured bacterium. RNAcentral describes it as "partial 16S ribosomal RNA". It matches the Rfam family "Bacterial small subunit ribosomal RNA", at positions 29 to 507 of the family's 1533-position model. The record is from RNAcentral.